CGGUACACAGUCAGCAGGAUGUCAGCCCUCCAAGGAUCUUAAAUGGGGAAGAACUUCUAGUGAAUAGAAGACCUGUAACACUGACUUGCGAGGGAAACGAAGCUCUCGUCUGGACAUACAAGUACCUGGAUUGCCAUUAUGACAUGGGAAAGCAGACCCAGACGUCGAAGACAGAUGGCUCCUAUCGAUCCCAACUGACGCUAAAUGACCAUAACAGCCAAGGUCAUUACCACUGCCAUUACAACAACACUAGCCUGAGUGACCCCAGGGCAUCAACCAGCACCUAUGUCUACCUUUUUUCUGAUGAAGAAAGCUUUGCCGAAUUGAAUCCAGAUCGAUGUCAAGGCUCCAGAAUCGCAGGGAAUGUCGGUGGCCAAGUGGUACUAGAUUGUAGACCCACCCAGCCCAAUCUUACAGUUGUCGUUAAACAUGGUGACGAGGAGAUCCACCGGGGUCCUUUGGAGGAUCCGAGGGCGGGCUAUGUGCUACGAAAUCUGACGAAGGGCAACCAGGGAAAAUAUAAGUGCUAUAUUCAUGACCAUGAAGAACCCAGGCAGUUUGUUGUGAGAGGUAAGGCCUUUCUCUCUCUCUCUCUCUCUCUCUGUAGCUUUUGUGUGUGUGUGUGUGUUAUACUAAAUCUGAAUAGUCAUGGAAAAGUUAUACAUCUUAAUAAAGACUUGUUAUAAAUAAAACUUAAUUAAAACCACAGUGAUUAAUAUUGUCCUUUUAUAUGCGACAAUAAAGACGAAUGUUGUGUAAAACCACAGUAAGCGUAAGUGUGGCGAAGCCUCAAGUUUUCUUCCUGGUUUUGGAGUGUUUUAAUCUAUAAGGAAACAGAAAAUAUAACUUUGCAGUCUUGUAGGGUAAAUAGAAGGUAGCAUCUGAGCAAGACCUAAUUACAUAAAAAUCCUACAAAUUUGCCGGCCAUCCCAACCCCCCGCCACCAAAAGACCAUUGUCACAUUUUUUCUCGUAUUGUACAAGUAAGUUCCAGAAGUGAAGCGACAAAUCUCAGAAUUGUUAGUACUUCUUUAGAAACUCGUGGAGUUGCCAGUUAGUAUAUUUUAUUCCAAUUAUUGUCAUCCUAUUUAUCUGAUAAUAUGUAUCAGUGAUUAACUGUAUAAGCGCAGAAAGUAUUUCCCCAGUGAAUGAUCAAUGGUAGUUCAAGAAUUGUUUAUUAAAAGAAAGAAAGAAAAAAAAAGAAUUUCCCCAAAGAAACAUCUGCGGCUCUCAAAGUGUGAUAUCAAGUGUUCACCAUCGAGUGGCAGCAGGAAUCGAGUGCAUAAGCAUUGGACUAAUAUUUGUAAAUUAACUUUCUACUUUUAUAGCGUUAUAUCGAAAGUUAUUAUGAUUUCUUUUGAUAAAGCACAGAGAAGUUUAGCAUCUGAUUAGAUUAAAUGAAAUAUAAAUAAGACACAAGUUGGUGUAAAAAAAAAAAAAAAAAACAAAUCUAAGUUAUAUGCGCGUUUAGCAUUGGUUACAUAGUUAGGCCUUUUUCAAGAAUCAAGGAAAUAUAUUUUCCGGCUUGUUAGUCAAUAAUUUCAUCGAAUUUCUCGAUUGUGCAAA
Molecule: long non-coding RNA, 1565 nt
Organism: Macrobrachium nipponense
Lineage: Eukaryota; Metazoa; Arthropoda; Malacostraca; Decapoda; Palaemonidae
Exons: 5
Source: RefSeq, a predicted model, not a curated record